GAUGAACGCUGGCGGCGUGCUUAACACAUGCAAGUCGAACGAAGCAUUUAGGACAGAUUACUUCGGUUUGAAGUUCUUUAUGACUGAGUGGCGGACGGGUGAGUAACGCGUGGGUAACCUGCCUUGUACUGGGGGAUAGCAGCUGGAAACGGCUGGUAAUACCGCAUAAGCGCACAAUGUUGCAUGACAUGGUGUGAAAAACUCCGGUGGUAUAAGAUGGACCCGCGUCUGAUUAGCUAGUUGGUGAGAUAACAGCCCACCAAGGCGACGAUCAGUAGCCGACCUGAGAGGGUGACCGGCCACAUUGGGACUGAGACACGGCCCAGACUCCUGCGGGAGGCAGCAGUGGGGAAUAUUGCACAAUGGAGGAAACUCUGAUGCAGCGACGCCGCGUGAGUGAAGAAGUAAUUCGUUAUGUAAAGCUCUAUCAGCAGGGAAGAUAGUGACGGUACCUGACUAAGAAGCGCCGGCUAAAUACGUG
RNAcentral lists this ribosomal RNA (481 nucleotides) under uncultured bacterium. Its description in RNAcentral is "partial 16S ribosomal RNA". It matches the Rfam family "Bacterial small subunit ribosomal RNA", at positions 28 to 507 of the family's 1533-position model. The record is from RNAcentral.